Molecule: long non-coding RNA, 1220 nt
Organism: Junco hyemalis (dark-eyed junco)
Lineage: Eukaryota; Metazoa; Chordata; Aves; Passeriformes; Passerellidae
Source: Ensembl
GGCAGUGAGUGUGAGACGUGCAGCUCCUUUCAUCCCAGCCUGGCACAAUCGCUCUGCAUCUGAUCCAGCCUCCUCGGAGAGGGGAGUCAUUCACUUUCAAAUCACGGAACUCCAUAAUGAAGGAGGUUAUCAUCCAGGAGUUAUACCCUGCUUGUUUUUAAACCUGCAAAGGGAAGAUACUGUGAACAAAGCAGUGAAGGCUCUCAGGUUCCUCCCCAGGUGCCAGGAGAGGAGUGGGGCUGUUUUGGAUCACCUGAGCACAGGGCUGGAUGCAACUGGGUUCUCAACAUCUGAAAGGGAUGGCGAAAUAAAUUACACAGAUCCCUGUGCAAGUCUGAUCAAGCUCUCAAAGAACAGCCUUGCCAAAGAACUGCCUGCCUACCUAUGUCCUCAUUCCACGAUCCAGGUGACUUUUGUUCCACGGAGCCACACCUCAGCCUCUCACCUCACCGGGAGAGAAAACCUCCCAGACGUCUCAGUUUUGCAACCGAGCAGUUGUGCCCUUGUCGUGCUUCCAGCAUUUCCUCACAGCCCGCACUCAGAAACGAGGGCUGCGAGUCCCAGCCUCAGCAGGAACGUCUCCCCCAUCAUUAAAUAAUUGAGCUGCUCCUGCAAUCUGGAGCCCGGCAGCCCGAGACGCUACCUCAUAGCUGCUGGGUCGCUGGCACAGGUUUGACAAAACCCUUCAGGGAUGGCUACUGCAGGGAGGCUCUUUCCUGGCAGGUCCCAGCUUGGUUUGUUGGGUCAGUGGGGAGACAGACAGGGCUCGCCACGCCAGGCCCGUGCCAAGCCACGCUGGCCAAAAUUGGCUGAGCCCUGGCUGUACCUUCCAGAAGUACUGAAGAAGGGGUUUUGGUCCUUGGUUGAGGAAAGGAAGGAAAUUUAGGUAUCAGAGUCCUUGGGAGAUGCUGUUUUGCUGCCCUCUAGGCAAAGAUUAAAGCUUGAAAUGUGGAAACUACAGAAAAUGCUGUCCUGAGCACACCAAAGCAAAGCAAAGGGUUGGGAAGGUGGAAAGGCUUUUCGUGGGACUUCAUUAAGGUGUGAGUAUGAAAUCUGUAAAAAGAUCUCUGGCCUCAGAUAAGGGAGAUCCAGUGGUGUACAACAAAGAAUUAUCAGUAAAGGCAUCAUAAUUACAAAGUUCUUUUAUAUUAAAAUGAUGUCAUGUAAUAGGUUGAAGAACAAGAAAUAAAUAAGCUGUGCAGAUCUCCUUUAUCUAAAUA